This 301-nucleotide ribosomal RNA is filed under the name uncultured bacterium. Its description in RNAcentral is "partial 16S ribosomal RNA". It matches the Rfam family "Bacterial small subunit ribosomal RNA", at positions 509 to 809 of the family's 1533-position model. The record is from RNAcentral.
CAGCCGCCACGGGAAUACGAAGGGUGCAAGCGUUAAUCGGAAUUACUGGGCGUAAAGCGUGCGUAGGCGGUUUGUUAAGUCUGCUGUGAAAUCCCCGGGCUCAACCUGGGAAUGGCAGUGGAUACUGGCAAGCUAGAGUGUGUCAGAGGAUGGUGGAAUUCCCGGUGUAGCGGUGAAAUGCGUAGAGAUCGGGAGGAACAUCAGUGGCGAAGGCGGCCAUCUGGGACAACACUGACGCUGAAGCACGAAAGCGUGGGGAGCAAACAGGAUUAGAUACCCCCGUAGUCCCUGUCUCUUAUAA